CGUACACUCCUACGGGAGGCAGCAGUGGGGAAUUUUGGACAAUGGGCGAAAGCCUGAUCCAGCCAUGCCGCGUGCAGGAUGAAGGCCUUCGGGUUGUAAACUGCUUUUGUACGGAACGAAACGGCCUUUUCUAAUAAAGAGGGCUAAUGACGGUACCGUAAGAAUAAGCACCGGCUAACUACGUGCCAGCAGCCGCGGUAAUACGUAGGGUGCAAGCGUUAAUCGGAAUUACUGGGCGUAAAGCGUGCGCAGGCGGUUAUGUAAGACAGUUGUGAAAUCCCCGGGCUCAACCUGGGAACUGCAUCUGUGACUGCAUAGCUAGAGUACGGUAGAGGGGGAUGGAAUUCCGCGUGUAGCAGUGAAAUGCGUAGAUAUGCGGAGGAACACCGAUGGCGAAGGCAAUCCCCUGGACCUGUACUGACGCUCAUGCACGAAAGCGUGGGGAGCAAACAGGAUUAGAAACCCCGGUAGUCCCA
This 476-nucleotide ribosomal RNA is filed under the name uncultured organism. Its description in RNAcentral is "partial 16S ribosomal RNA". It matches the Rfam family "Bacterial small subunit ribosomal RNA", at positions 330 to 797 of the family's 1533-position model. The record is from RNAcentral.